AUUGAAACACUUGUUCCCAUAUGAACAUAGAGGUUAAGCAAUGUUGAGCUUGGUCACUACUUAGAUAGGUGACCACUUGAGAAUACCAGGC
This is a non-coding RNA of Acanthosepion pharaonis, 91 nucleotides long. Lineage: Eukaryota; Metazoa; Mollusca; Cephalopoda; Sepiida; Sepiidae. The record is from the annotation of a GenBank genome assembly.